UCGUGCCACGCCGCUGCUGCACUCCUCCUCCCUCAGCGCUCCCACAAAGCUUUGCAGGAGACCGUACAAUGAAAUUUCGGACUUUUUUUCACGUUUCGGCGCCAUUUUCGAUUGGACUGGAGGGACCCCUUUUACAUCGACCAGAAAGUCUAAGCAGUCCGAGGCCUGUCUCAAAGGAAAUAUCAAGAUGGGGCACUAGUGUUUGGGAUGGACAUCAAGUGUUCAUGUGUCAGAGGCAUCACAAAGAGUAGUAGACUCGUAGGAGAGAUCCAGAAAGGGAAUCAGGGUUGACUGCAUUUCAGCACCACCUUGUACCAUCUGUGCACCAUAUGACCCGGUCAGCAAU
This is a long non-coding RNA of Colossoma macropomum (tambaqui), 346 nucleotides long. RefSeq lists it as uncharacterized. Lineage: Eukaryota; Metazoa; Chordata; Actinopteri; Characiformes; Serrasalmidae. The record is from RefSeq and is a predicted model, not a curated record. The transcript is spliced from 3 exons.